GAGCGCACGAGCGAAAAGG
Molecule: microRNA, 19 nt
Filed under: Ciona intestinalis (vase tunicate)
Lineage: Eukaryota; Metazoa; Chordata; Ascidiacea; Phlebobranchia; Cionidae
Description: cin-miR-4169-3p
Source: miRBase by way of RNAcentral